GAUGAAGAACGUAGCGAAACGCGAUAAGUAAUGUGAAUUGCAGAAUCCAGUGAAUCAUCGAAUCUUUGAACGCACAUUGCGCCCGCCAGCAUUCUGGCGGGCAUGCCUGUUCGAGCGUCAUUUCAACCCUCGACCUCCCCUUGGGGAGGUCGGCGUUGGGGACCGGCAGCACACCGCCGGCCCUGAAAUGGAGUGGCGGCCCGUCCGCGGCGACCUCUGCGCAGUAAUACAGCUCGCACCGGGACCCCGACGCGGCCACGCCGUAAAACACCCAACUUCUGAACGUUGACCUCGAAUCAGGUAGGACUACCCUCUGAACUUAAGCAUAUCAAUAAGCGGAGGA
Molecule: unclassified non-coding RNA, 343 nt
Filed under: soil metagenome
Description: partial contains 5.8S ribosomal RNA, internal transcribed spacer 2, and large subunit ribosomal RNA
Rfam family: 5.8S ribosomal RNA (bases 1-120)
Source: RNAcentral